Molecule: long non-coding RNA, 2718 nt
Filed under: Homo sapiens (human)
Lineage: Eukaryota; Metazoa; Chordata; Mammalia; Primates; Hominidae
Description: non-protein coding MIR9-3HG:29
Source: RNAcentral
AUCAAGCGAUCCUCCCACCUGGGCCUCCCAAAGUGUUGAGAUUACAGCAUGAGCCACCACACCCAGACUAAAAGGCAGUUUGAUUUUACAAAUCAAAAUAGCAGUAAUCUAUGGAGAUUUACUUGUGAGAUUGGUAGGAAACAUCUUAAAUGUAAUCAAACAAUAACUUACAUCUUGAUGAAUUCACGUGUAGGUUUCUCUUCCUCAGAAGAAAUCAGAUGCUGUUCAGAGCACGAAGGCUAGAAUUUUACCCUGGUUCUCAUGCUACCUUGCACCCAGGUUGGAUCCUGAGUACAGUUUUUGGCAGGUGGGCCUGCAUAUAAGUUAGCAAUGGGGGAUACCCAGCUGCCUCUCUUCAUACAGCUGAGGUUUUGGGGAGUCAUUCUUAUAGCCCCUGGGUUGGGCCUAGUCCUGCAAAUGAAUUCACCAGCCCUAAAGCCCAAAUUGCAGCCUCUGUCAUUCACCUUCCAGGAGUGGAAAGGGCAGUAAGUUUCAUCUUAUUAUUAUUGCUAUUUUGGUGGUUUUGUUGAGGUUGGUGUGUGUAUGUUAGUAAGAUAAAGCUCUCAGAAAUUACAUAGCAUUUGUCAAGGAUAUAAGAGGGACUGUGCCACAUCUGGCUGUAUAGAAGGUGGUUCCAUAUCUUUAAAUAGAGCCCCAGGUCCUUAGCCACCAGAAAGGUUUUCAGGGGAAGUGUGCACCCUCAGCAGCUGCUGCUGGUGGGCAGGAUGGGCACGCAUGGAACAGGCUUUCCUCUGUGGCCAGGUGAGAAGCAGGUGGUGAGACACAGAGCAGUGCUGGGCUCUGCUUCUGAAGCCUCCAACCUUUCCUUCCCUAGGAAGCCCCAGAGAGAUUGGUGAGGGUGAUUUCCCAGGAAGACGCAGUGUGCUCUGACUUCUGUGACAGUGAGCAACGGGACCAGUGGAUGUCCAGAUGCUGGCAAUGAGUAGGCCUUCCCUACGCUGGGUGGCGUCCACACCCUCCGGCUUCCAUUGCCUGGGUCUCCUGGAGGUGGUUUGCUGGAUGAAUACCGCAUGCACAGAGGCUGGCCUUGGGUUUGAAUAUGGCAGCCAGUGGACAGCAUGUGCUUCAGUUAUGAGACUGCCCAGGAGAUGCUUCUUCCAAGGCAGAGCACGUGCAGAGUCCAGUGCUGGAGAGGCCGGGUGCGCAGUUGACCCAUUUCCAGUUCUGUUUUCCCUCUCAUGUUCCUCUGUCCCCAUCUAGGACAUGCUCUGGAGUCAGAAGACAGCGAAAAGAGAAGCAGAAGCCCCGGUGGCAAGAGUCUGAAGCAGGAAGGAUGACUGUAGCCUGUGGAUUGUACUGCAGUAGGAAACUGUCCUAGCAAGGCUCCACUUUGCCCCAGCUUCAAGCUGGAAAGGAGGAGAACAUGAAACAUUGCUUGAAGACAAUGGCCGAGACAGCAGGUCCCACCCUGCACAGCCACCAGCAUCUCUCCCCUCAGCCCUGUCUCCUCUUCUGCAGUUGGGAUCUGCACAUUUAAGCCUGAAAUUGUCCUGUGAAGUGAAGUAUGAUCGGACAGCCUCUUUUCAGCUUUUAUGACAAUGGAGACAGAGGAAUUGUGGCUCUUGCCAAGGUCACAGGAUUGGAAUACAGAGCCAAGCCACCCCAGGACAUGCAAGAGCCUCAGAAGGGAAAAAAGCCCAGCAGGAAGGGAGAACAAGUAGCCUCUGUCCUGAAGUUGUAACAGCCAGGGGCCAGGAUGGAGGAGGAGGACCCCAUAAUCUGCCCAUCUGGGACUUGGCAGGGGACCUGGGAAAAUGUACCCCAACCCAUCCCUUAAGGGCCUUUGUCUUUGGCCCAUUGGCCUAGCAUCUACUUCUUCACCGUGUCUGUUCUUGUCACACCUAGUCAGGUCUGUUUGGGUCUGAGGUGCAUGGAACAUUCUGGGUAGGCCUCCAGCAAACGGAAGCUCUUCACCGUGUUUCCAGCCUGGGACCAAGGGCAGCAUACUGGCAAAGUUGCCAAAGCAAGGGACUCCAGCCUCUUAGGAGUUAAUGACUCCCUCUCCCCAGCUGUCCUCCCCUUGGUGCUCCUCUUCCUCCCUCCUCCUGCUCACAGCAGGCAGGGCCUAGACCCGGGAGCCAUGCUGCUGUGCUGUUGCCAGGGGAGCACGGAGGCAGAUCUGAGCUAUGCAGGGAAAAGGCCCAGCCUGUCAAAGUGUCUGAGAUGAACCGCCGCCGUCCCUGUGCAGCUGGGCUCAGACGUGUCUCAGCUCUUGUUCUGUGCCUGAGAAUGGCGAAACCCAGUGAGGUUCAAGGGCAAACUCGCUAUUCAUUAGUCAGGGGUUCUUGACGUCCCGUCUCUCCCAGGGAUGAGUUCCCCCCUCCUCUUUCUCCCCCUCCUAUGACACAUUCCUGGGUGCCUUUGGUGAGGACUGCACACCCUCCUCCUGCCUAGCCCCCUCUCCAAAGGCCCCUGAAUAAACUCCCCCCAAGGAGACCAGGCAGGGCAGAGACAAUGGCUGCAGGAAAUCAUUCAGGCGGGACAUGCUGGCCUGCCCUCCACCCAGUCCCCCUGUGGGCCCCACUCCCUUCUGAUUCAGGGCACCCUUGGGCCCCCAGCCUAUACAGGCCUGGACAGGAAGAAACCACUGGGAACCACCCUAAGGACAACAUGCUAGUCCAGUGCCAUUCUUCGCUGGCUCUGUGGGUGCCUUUGUGGCCUGUACCGACUGGCUGGCUAAUUUUGUGGUUUCUGUAC